RNAcentral lists this ribosomal RNA (1343 nucleotides) under uncultured bacterium. Its description in RNAcentral is "bacterial SSU rRNA". It matches the Rfam family "Bacterial small subunit ribosomal RNA", at positions 28 to 1381 of the family's 1533-position model. The record is from RNAcentral.
GACGAACGCUGGCGGCGUGCUUAACACAUGCAAGUCGAACGGUAAGGCUCCAGCUUGCUGGGGUACACGAGUGGCGAACGGGUGAGUAACACGUGGGUGACCUGCCCUGCACUUCGGGAUAAGCCUGGGAAACUGGGUCUAAUACCGGAUAGGACCGCACCGUGAGGGCGUGGUGGAAAGUUUUUUCGGUGUGGGAUGGGCCCGCGGCCUAUCAGCUUGUUGGUGGGGUAAUGGCCUACCAAGGCGGCGACGGGUAGCCGGCCUGAGAGGGUGGACGGCCACAUUGGGACUGAAACACGGCCCAGACUCCUACGGGAGGCAGCAGUGGGGAAUAUUGCACAAUGGGCGGAAGCCUGAUGCAGCGACGCCGCGUGGGGGAUGACGGCCUUCGGGUUGUAAACUCCUUUCACCAUCGACGAAGGGUUUCUGACGGUAGAUGGAGAAGAAGCACCGGCUAACUACUUGCCAGCAGGCGCGGUAAUACGUAGGGUGCGAGCGUUGUCCGGAAUUACUGGGCGUAAAGAGCUCGUAUGUGGGUUGUCACGUCGUCUGUAAAAUUCCGGGGCUUAACUCCGGGCGUGCAGGCGAUACACGCAUAACUUCAGUACUGUAGGGUAGACUGGAUUUCCUGGGGUAGCGGCGAAAUGCUCAUAUAUCAGGAGGAACUCCGAUUGCGAAAGCGGGAUCUCUGGGGCAUAACUGAUUCUGAGUAUGCAAUGCCUGUGGAGCUAAAAGGAUGAGAACCCCUGUUAAUCCAUGCCUUAAAACGUGGGCCCCCGAGAGGGGUUUCCUUCCACGGGAUCCGUGCCGUAGCCUAACGCAUUAAGCGCCCCGCCUGGGGAGUACGACCGCAAGGCUAAAACUCAAAGGAAUUGACGGGGGCCCGCACAAGCGGCGGAGCAUGUCGAUUAAUUCGAUGCAACGCGAAGAACCUUACCUGGGCUUGACAUAUACAGGAUCGCGCCAGAGAUGGUGUUUCCCUUGUGGCUUGUAUACAGGUGGUGCAUGGUCGUCGUCAGCUCGUGUCGUGAGAUGUUGGGUUAAGUCCCGCAACGAGCGCAACCCUUGUCUUAUGUUGCCAGCACGUUGUGGUGGGGACUCGUAAGAAACUGCCGGGGUUAACUCGGAGGAAGGUGGGGAGGACGUCAAAUCAUCAUGCCCCUUAUGUCCAGGGCUUCACACAUGCUACAAUGGUCGGUACAGUGGGUUGCCAGUCCGUGAGGGCGAGCUAAUCCCGCAAAGCCGGUCUCAGUUCGGAUCGGGGUCUGCAACUCGACCCCGUGAAGUCGGAGUCGCUAGUAAUCGCAGAUCAGCAACGCUGCGGUGAAUACGUUCCCGGGCCU